AAUAUGAUAUGCUAAAAUUAGACUUUGCAAAAUAACUUAAUUUAAAACGAUGCAUGCAUCCUACGUGUGUGUGCUCAAAUUAUUCUUGGUCUCUUCUUAAGGAAAUUUCUGGAUUCUCGUACACUAAAACUCGUAUCAGCCUCAGCUCGGGGAAAAAAUAUUUAAUUAGCUGACCUAAAAUAUCUUAAAACAUUUGUAGUCGAAGAAUACUAUUUUAGAGGCCCAAUACUAAAAAGUGGCCCAACUACCUAAGACUAAUAAUAAGGAAAAUAAAAGAGUAAACAUUUACUCCCUAACAUUCAUCGGCCUUGUACAAAUUGGAGUACAUUAUUCAAAGAUUUGAAAAUACAUAUUCAAACAAAAUUGAGAACAGUCAUAACGUCAAAGUUUCUCUCUCUCCUUUAUGUCAAAAUUGAAAUCCCCAAAUUAGAAAAACUAGCCCUUCUUUUUCUUUCUUCCUCUCCAGCCUCACGCCGCCGCCCUCUCUCUCCCGAUCUGCCGCCGCCUCCGCCGCGGAUCCGCCUCCGUCGCCUCCUUCCUCUCCCCCUCCUUUCUCUCCAUCGGCUCCCUCUUUCUCUCCCGGAUCUGCCGCUGCCGCCGCCACUGUGCAUGCACAGGCGGUGGCUUCGGCCUCCUCCGCGCCUCGUGCUGCCCGAGCAGCUUCCCGGCGCCACUCCAGCUGCAGCCUUCUCGCCGAACUCCGAAUGGUCCUUAAGGCUGCGAUUUUAGUGAUGGAUUUGGGGGGUGGGGGCUGUCACCGUCGACUUCCGGGCUGCCGAAGAGCACAGAAACGUACUCACGAGAUAAGUUUUCCAACUAAGUGAUUAUUAUUAGUUGUAGGACUAAUUUGUCUAUUUUAUAAAUUUGGUGAAUUUUGAACAAUCGUGUCUACUGGGAAGACUUAAUGGUGAAACAAGUUAAUCUUGAUGUUUAUUGUUAACAUUUGGGCAGAUUCUACUUCCAACUACAUAUAUGCAUGCUUGUACAUAUAUGAAUGAAAAGGAAGGUUUGGGGUUUACCUUUUGAGGUGGAAUAAAGUUUUGUUGGAUUGUAGUGCUUGACUCUACAAUUACCUGCAACUCUGCAACUCUCCCUCCUGUGUUCUAUGUGGAAUUCUUUUUGGAAAGUUUGAUUGUGAGGUGGGUGAGACAAAAAGAUUUGUAUAUACAUACAUAUACAUAAAAGAUGCAAGUGGUGUAUCUUGCAAGAAUGAGAUGCAAGUGUCGUAUCUCUCAAGAAUGAGACGCAAGUGGCGUGUAUUUUUCAAAUAUUCUGUCAGAGGAUGAUGAUUUCUAUCUGCAAUCCAUUAAUGCAGCAAUAAAUGCUGUUGAUAACAAUUAUCCUCUCAAGAUCUGCCUUUUUGUAUUUUAUUAUUUUAUUUAUUUAUUUAUUUAAUUAUUUGAGUAUCUAAUUUGGUGCAGGUAUAAUCGGUUCAAGUUCGUGGCUGUCCGCGUUGAAGUACCCUAUUUUCUUAGAACCCAAGAAGUAUAAAUUAAAUUUUGUUGGACUUUUGUUGGAUGUACCGGACAUUAAAAUUUUGAUUAUAGGACAUAAUUCUUUUAGUAUA
Molecule: long non-coding RNA, 1567 nt
Organism: Salvia splendens (bonfire salvia)
Lineage: Eukaryota; Viridiplantae; Streptophyta; Magnoliopsida; Lamiales; Lamiaceae
Exons: 2
Source: RefSeq, a predicted model, not a curated record